AUUGAACGCUGGCGGCAUGCUUUACACAUGCAAGUCGAACGGUAACAGGGAGCUUGCUCCGCUGACGAGUGGCGAACGGGUGAGUAAUGCAUCGGAACGUACCCAGUCGUGGGGGAUAACGUAGCGAAAGUUACGCUAAUACCGCAUACGUCCUGAGGGAGAAAGCGGGGGACCGUAAGGCCUCGCGCGAUUGGAGCGGCCGAUGUCGGAUUAGCUAGUUGGUAGGGUAAAGGCCUACCAAGGCGACGAUCCGUAGCGGGUCUGAGAGGAUGAUCCGCCACACUGGGACUGAGACACGGCCCAGACUCCUACGGGAGGCAGCAGUGAGGAAUAUUGGUCAAUGGGCGGGAGCCUGAACCAGCCAAGUCGCGUGAAGGAAGAAGGAUCUAUGGUUCGUAAACUUCUUUUGCAGGGGAAUAAAGUGCGGGACGUGUCCUGUUUUGUAUGUACCCUGAGAAUAAGGAUCGGCUAACUCCGUGCCCAGCAGCCGCGGUAAGCUCGUCUCUA
This 507-nucleotide ribosomal RNA is filed under the name uncultured bacterium. RNAcentral's name for it is "bacterial SSU rRNA". It matches the Rfam family "Bacterial small subunit ribosomal RNA", at positions 30 to 537 of the family's 1533-position model. The record is from RNAcentral.